UACAGAGGGGGCAAGCGUUGUUCGGAAUUACUGGGCGUAAAGGGCGCGUAGGCGGCCUUCUAAGUCGAACGUGAAAUCCCCGGGCUCAACCCGGGAACUGCGUCCGAUACUGAAAGGCUUGAAUCCGGGAGAGGGAUGCGGAAUUCCAGGUGUAGCGGUGAAAUGCGUAGAUAUCUGGAGGAACACCGGUGGCGAAGGCGGCCUGCUGGGCAGUAGCUGACACUGAGGCGCGACAGCGUGGGGAGCAAACAGG
This 253-nucleotide ribosomal RNA is filed under the name uncultured bacterium. RNAcentral's name for it is "partial 16S ribosomal RNA". It matches the Rfam family "Bacterial small subunit ribosomal RNA", at positions 524 to 776 of the family's 1533-position model. The record is from RNAcentral.